RNAcentral lists this ribosomal RNA (640 nucleotides) under Microbacterium petrolearium. RNAcentral describes it as "bacterial SSU rRNA". It matches the Rfam family "Bacterial small subunit ribosomal RNA", at positions 33 to 686 of the family's 1533-position model. The record is from RNAcentral. Lineage: Bacteria; Bacillati; Actinomycetota; Actinomycetes; Micrococcales; Microbacteriaceae.
UUGCUUGCGGGUGCUUACACAUGCAGUCGAACGGUGAAGCUCCAGCUUGCUGGAGUGGAUCAGUGGCGAACGGGUGAGUAACACGUGAGCAACCUGCCCCUGACUCUGGGAUAACAGUCGGAAACGAUUGCUAAUACCGGAUAUGCACCAUGAACGCAUGUUCUGUGGUGGGAAAGAUUUUUUGGUUGGGGAUGGGCUCGCGGCCUAUCAGCUUGUUGGUGAGGUAAUGGCUCACCAAGGCGUCGACGGGUAGCCGGCCUGAGAGGGUGACCGGCCACACUGGGACUGAGACACGGCCCAGACUCCUACGGGAGGCAGCAGUGGGGAAUAUUGCACAAUGGGCGAAAGCCUGAUGCAGCAACGCCGCGUGAGGGAUGACGGCCUUCGGGUUGUAAACCUCUUUUAGCAGGGAAGAAGCGAGAGUGACGGUACCUGCAGAAAAAGCGCCGGCUAACUACGUGCCAGCAGCCGCGGUAAUACGUAGGGCGCAAGCGUUAUCCGGAAUUAUUGGGCGUAAAGAGCUCGUAGGCGGUUUGUCGCGUCUGCUGUGAAAACUGGAGGCUCAACCUCCAGCCUGCAGUGGGUACGGGCAGACUAGAGUGCGGUAGGGGAGAUUGGAAUUCCUGGUGUAGCGGUGGAA